This 39-nucleotide ribosomal RNA is filed under the name Ceratobasidium cereale. RNAcentral's name for it is "partial 28S ribosomal RNA". The record is from RNAcentral. Lineage: Eukaryota; Fungi; Basidiomycota; Agaricomycetes; Cantharellales; Ceratobasidiaceae.
UUGACUUGGCCAAUACUUUUAUGAUCUGAUCUCAAAUCA